UUUGCUCCAGUCAACGUAACGACUGAAGUAAAAUCUGUCGAAAUGCACCAUGAAGCUUUGAGUGAAGCUCUUCCUGGGGACAACGUGGGCUUUAAUGUCAAGAAUGUGUCUGUCAAGGAUGUUCGUCGUGGCAACGUUGCUGGUGACAGCAAAAACGACCCACCAAUGGAAGCAGCUGGCUUCACUGCUCAGGUGAUUAUCCUGAACCAUCCAGGCCAAAUAAGUGCUGGCUAUGCCCCUGUGUUGGAUUGCCACAUGGCUCACAUUGCAUGCAAGUUUGCUGAGCUGAAGGAAAAGAUUGAUCGCCGUUCUGGUAAAAAACUGGAAGAUGGCCCUAAAUUCUUGAAGUCUGGUGAUGCUGCCAUUGUUGAUAUGGUUCCUGGCAAGCCUAUGUGUGUUGAGAGCUUCUCAGACUAUCCACCUUUGGGUCACUUUGCUGUUCGUGAUAUGAGGCAGACAGUUGCGGUGGGUGUCAUCAAAGCAGUGGACAAGAAGGCUGCUGGAGCUGGCAAGGUCACCAAGUCUGCCCAGAAAGCUCAGAAGGCUAAAUGAAUAUUAUCCCUAAUACCUGCCACCCCACUCUUAAUCAGUGGUGGAAGAACGGUCUCAGAACUGUUUGUUUCAAUUGGCCAUUUAAGUUUAGUAGUAAAAGACUGGUUAAUGAUAACAAUGCAUCGUAAAACCUUCAGAAGGAAAGGAGAAUGUUUUGUGGACCACUUUGGUUUUCUUUUUUGCGUGUGGCAGUUUUAAGUUAUUAGUUUUUAAAAUCAGUACUUUUUAAUGGAAACAACUUGACCAAAAAUUUGUCACAGAAUUUUGAGACCCAUUAAAAAAGUUUAAUGAGAAAAAAAAAAAAAAAAAAAA
Molecule: RNA transcript, 864 nt
Organism: Rhinopithecus roxellana (golden snub-nosed monkey)
Lineage: Eukaryota; Metazoa; Chordata; Mammalia; Primates; Cercopithecidae
Gene name: elongation factor 1-alpha 1 pseudogene
Exons: 1
Source: RefSeq, a predicted model, not a curated record